This is a long non-coding RNA of Syngnathus acus (greater pipefish), 1634 nucleotides long. RefSeq lists it as uncharacterized. The record is from RefSeq and is a predicted model, not a curated record. The transcript is spliced from 3 exons. Lineage: Eukaryota; Metazoa; Chordata; Actinopteri; Syngnathiformes; Syngnathidae.
GUGUCGCCUCAGCGGCAGAUUUGCUCCGUCUCCUAAACUGCCUUCAUCCUAAAAUUAGCUGCCACCGACAAAGCCUUAAUGUCAUUAGCAUGGAGUUGGCAGCCGCCAACGCCCGCUGAUCACCGCGCCGCACAGCGCCGCGCCGCGCCCUUCCUUCCUUGGUUCUGGGUGGACAACGUGGAGAAAGUGACGCCCCCGGUUAGCGUGAAGCGUGCACGGCUUCCCUCGUCUGAUCUUGUCCUCCAUGCACAGUAAAGGCUCAAGUUCCAGCCAGAAAAACAGCAGGAUGCUACCAUCACCAUGCAGGUCUAAAGAAUCUCAACUAUGGGACAUCUGGAAUUCCAACGGAAAUGACCAGAGUGGAGGUGACUGAAGACGCAGAAGGAGACUUGGUUACACAACCAAGCUGAAUGUGCACUUGGAAACCAGGCAGCCCUUCUCACCAAAGCAGAAAUUCAUUGAAAAUUCAUUGAGAUUGAAUUGAUGAAUAUAAAAAUAUAGAAUAAAAUAACUUCUGUUCUGAUCCUUUAAGGCUUACAAACAGAAAGAUAUCAAUUACGGGCAAAAUAUUGGACUGCUUGGCAAUACUUUGUAUCAUUUUACAAUUGAGAGAAAAAUGGCACUCAGGCACUUUAUAACAGGAUGUGGCUAUAUAUAACUCGUUAGGCCAAGCUUAUAUUCAGUUGCUGUGUGUGUGUGUGUGGGGGAGGAUUAAUGGGAGAACUUUGGAUCUGCUCAAUGUCAUUUUUUUGUGUGGAACAGAGGCAAGUAAAGUGAAUUGUUGGAAUUCAGGAAUGCAUUUAGCAACUAACAACCACGAGUUGCACCUCCACAUUUUCGAGUUUUGCAACAUCAGACAGCAUCCAAACCGCUCCAUCUCAGUCUUGGUGCUUGGUGGCAUGUGUACGUGUCAAGUUGUUUCCGGGGGGGGGUGACCAUGACAAUGUCUCGCCGAUCGCACCCUCAAAGUGGGAACUAACGGAACGCGGCAGGAGCGGCAGUCAAAACAGAUCAACCUUCGGGGCUGAAAUUCAGGGAAAAAAGUUCCUUCCGUCAUGUGGGAUCACACUCAAGGUCAUGGUGUGUGUGUGUGUGUUUGUUUUGGUGAUGAGUGGGCGAGUAGUGACACGCACACACACACACACACACACACACACACACACACACACACACACACACACACACGCUUGUCAAAUGACAUUAAGCCCAGCCUCAAAGUGAACCUCCAUUUUGCACUCAGCGCAGAGACAAUGCUUUCCACUGUUAAACAGCAUCCUGAGUCAUUAUGGCUGCCUUUCAUUCAUGUGUGAUGUACAAGGUCGUGUGUGUGUGUGUGUGUGUCUUUUCACAUUAUUGAAAUGUUUUCAUAUCUUGGGAGGUUCAAAGAUGGCGCCUUUGAGUCGGCAGCUUGUUAUAACAGCUCCGCUAGUUUUCAUAUUCAUUUCUUCUCUCCACCCUUUGUAUGUUAUUUUACUGCUCUGUGUCAAGGUCAUUGUCACGGGCCACAUGAUAGUGAUGGUUUCCCUGUUAUGACUGUCAACCCAAAUCAAUGUUAUAUUCUCACAUAUACGCAGCAACAUGAUGGAUAACGUGUUUUGAAAUCAGAGGUUAAGCUAUUUUUCAAUUGAUUUGAA